RNAcentral lists this unclassified non-coding RNA (353 nucleotides) under uncultured Basidiomycota. Its description in RNAcentral is "sequence contains ITS1". The stretch from base 1 to 105 matches the Rfam family "5.8S ribosomal RNA", at positions 50 to 154 of the family's 154-position model. Lineage: Eukaryota; Fungi; Basidiomycota. The record is from RNAcentral.
GAAAUGCGAUAAGUAAUGUGAAUUGCAGAAUUCAGUGAAUCAUCGAAUCUUUGAACGCACCUUGCACCCUUUGGUAUUCCGAAGGGUAUGCCCGUUUGAGUGUCAUUGUAAUCUCACACCCUCACCCUUUGGGCGGAGGGAGGUGGACUUGGACGUCCUGCGGUGCGAAAGCUUCCGCUCGUCUCAAAAGCUUUGGCUCGUGACCUUGGUAUUGGCGAUGAAGCCUGGUGUGAUAAGUGUCUUCACCGGGUGCCUCUCUGGGUUUGCGGCUUCACAACCGUCCGACUCGGACAGACAAUUUUGUCUCUUGACGACUUGACCUCAAAUCGGGUAGGACUACCCGCUGAACUUAA